AGUUGAAGUGCUUACCAAAAAUUAAAUGUUUGCUAAACAUUGCUGUUUUUAAUGGUAGGAGAUUACAAUAUUAAAAUGUGUGUGAAAGAUAAAGAUGAAUCAGAGAAAUAAGCUGAAUUACUAGUGCAUUUAACAGAAGGAAGUUUGAGAGCCCUGGCAAAACUGACACUCUGACAUGGUAUCUUUUAUUGAUCUCAAUAAUGGAGUGAAAAAUAUGACAAUUCUGUCAUAGAGAUUGAUGUAGAAACCUCACCAACCAUAAGCAGAAGUAAAUACAGACAUUCCAUCCAAUUACUGUGAGAGGUGAAAUGGUGAAGAUACAUUUGUGUGGACACUUACUGUUCUUUCUAAACAAAAGAAACCACACAGGAAGUACAGAGACCUCAGUGCUGUGACAUAACCAGCAAAUCCCAUCUUGUUUUGAGUGGGGUUGAUACUUCCCAGCCUGCAUCAACACACAAGUUGACCAGAAUUCCUCCAGGAGUUCCUGCUCUUAGACAAAAAUCCUGGCAUACAGUAAAAAAUUAAGGAGUCAGUGAAGAAUGCUGCCCAGAAACCAGUCAUCCUGCACUGAGUCUGGCACAGAAAAUUAGAAUUGUGAAAGAAAUGGUGGAA
RNAcentral lists this long non-coding RNA (615 nucleotides) under Cyanistes caeruleus (blue tit). Its description in RNAcentral is "lncRNA (ENSCCEG00000015855.1)". Lineage: Eukaryota; Metazoa; Chordata; Aves; Passeriformes; Paridae. The record is from RNAcentral.